RNAcentral lists this ribosomal RNA (1236 nucleotides) under metagenome. RNAcentral describes it as "bacterial LSU rRNA". It matches the Rfam family "Bacterial large subunit ribosomal RNA", at positions 1564 to 2808 of the family's 2925-position model. The record is from RNAcentral.
UGAGUCCGAGGAGCUACGGCUCUUAAGUGAUACGAGUCAGACUUCCCAGAAAAGCCCGAACCACGUUAAUCUCUAAUUACCUGUACCCGAAACCGACACAGGUGGGUAGGUAGAGUAUACUAAGGGGCGCGAGAUAACUCUCUCUAAGGAACUCGGCAAAAUGACUCCGUAACUUCGGGAGAAGGAGUGCCUUAUUUAUAAGGUUGCAAUAACAAGAUCCAAGCAACUGUUUAUCAAAAACACAGGUCUCCGCUAAGUCGUAAGACGAUGUAUGGGGGCUGACGCCUGCCCAGUGCCAGAAGGUUAAAGAAGUUGGUUAGUGUAUGCGAAGCUGAUGACUGAAGCCCUGGUGAACGGCGGCCGUAACAAUAACGGUCCUAAGGUAGCGAAAUUCCUUGUCGGGUAAGUUCCGACCCGCACGAAAGGCGUAAUGAUUUGGAUACUGUCUCGGAGAGAGGCUCGGUGAAAUAGACUUGUCUGUGAAGAUGCGGACUACCUGCACCAGGACAGAAAGACCCUAUGAAGCUUUACUGUAACUUGAAAUUGGAAUUGGACUUUGCUUGCGCAGUAUAGGUGGGAAGCGUUGAAGAUAUUCUUGCGGGAGUAUUGGAGCUAUCAGUGAGAUACCACUCUUGUAAUGUUAGAUUUCUAACUUUGAACCAUAAUCUGGUCAAAGAACAGUUUCAGGUGGGCAGUUUGACUGGGGCGGUCGCCUCCCAAAUGGUAACGGAGGCGUACAAAGGUUUCCUCUGAACGGAUAGAAAUCGUAUCUAGAGUGUAAAGGCAUAAGGAAGCUUGACUGUGAGACCUACAAGUCGAGCAGGGACGAAAGUCGGUCUUAGUGAUCUGACGGUACUGAGUGGAAAGGCCGUCACUCAACGGAUAAAAGUUACUCUAAGGAUAACAGGCUGAUCUCCCCCAAGAGUUCACAUCGACGGGGAGGUUUGGCACCUCGAUGUCGGCUCAUCGCAUCCUGGGGCGGUAGUACGUCCCAAGGGUUGGGCUGUUCGCCCAUGAAAGCGGUACGCGAGCUGGGUUCAGAACGUCGUGAGACAGUUCGGUCCAUAUCCGGUGUAGGCGUUAGAAUAUUGAGAGGAGCCUUCUUUAGUACGAGAGGACCGAGAAGGACACACCGCUGGUGUACCAGUUAUCGUGCCAACGGUAAACGCUGGGUAGCUAUGUGUGGAGUGGAUAACCGCUGAGAGCAUCUAAGUGGGAAGCCCACCUCAAGAUGAG